UUAUAAUUUUUAUUUGUAUCAUUUUCUGUCACAAAACGGACUGAUUAAUAUAAUUACAGUAUUUCAUACAUUCAACACAUUUAUAACCAAAUCUUGAUGUAUGGUUGCUUACAUGGAUAAAUUAAAUAACUUUAUAAAUCCUACAUCUCCAACUUUCCACUUACAACAGUACGGUGCAGUAUCGGUCAUUUUUAUUUGUUUUUUUUUUCAAUUCUGAGCAAAUAGAGAACUUAACUACCUAUAUUUAUAAAAUACUAAUAUCCCAUAGACCUUUCCCCUCCGUCUAUAGAGGUAUAUAUAAUUGAAUAAAAUUCCUCUAACAGGUCCCUUAAGUUCCUAACCAAGUCUGCCUAUCAUAUUAUAUAAUCAAUGCUUAUAUUUUAUAAUAUUGUUAUCUAUCUCAGUAUCUUAAUUCGUGAUGAAAUCUGAUAACUCAGUAAUUCUGUACACAAAACAUUGCACAAAUGCACAUUUAGCGUUUUCGAACCUGCUUUAUUACUUUUGUAGUUUCACUAAGAAUUUGAUUCUGUAUUGAAAUAUUACUUACGCGGAAUUAUCCUGCAUUAUAUUUUAUUUAAAACAAUUUCUGUUUUUCAUUUUUCGAUUAAAAAUGCCCAGCUGUAUUUGUUACAGCUCAAGAAAUGCUAAUUCAAAAAAUGCAAACAUCUCUUUUCAUAAGUAAGUACCAUCAGUAACAAACUAAUAACAGUUAUUUGACUAUGAGCAGCUUUAUUAAUAUGACUUUUACAUUAAAAUAAUAAUACAUUUUUAUUUUAGGUUUUCGGUAAAAAAACAUAUAGGCAAAAUGGUUAAAUUUUGUAAAAAAAAAAAUAGACCAAACAUCACAGAUAUUACUAAAAACAGUUUGAUCUGUUCAACUCAUUUUGACUCUGCAUGUUUUAUUUUUAAUUAAAACAAAUAAAAGUAGUAUUUCAAAACUGCUGUUCCAACUUGUAUUAAGAGUAAACAAUGUAAGUAUUGGUGUUAUGUGCAAUACUAAAAAAUAACUAAACAUUUAGAAUUCUUUUACUGAAUUAUUCAUUUUUAGGCUAAACCAGAUAACUCAGAAUUAAUUAAAUUUGUUCUGCCUGAAGUUUCAAAUUCUAAUGCACAUAGUACAAGUGACAACCGUGUUUGGUUUUAAAUAAUUGUAGUCAAGGUAGAUAAAAAUAUUUUAUUUUUAUUGUUUCACAUAUUUAUAAAUUGUUCUUAUUUCCUUUAAAUAAUAAUUAUUACCUCUUUUAUUUUAGUUACCUCUAUAUGAAUCAAAUGUCGAAGAAACUUUGAAUAUUUCGUUGAUAUCUGUAGAUGCCCAAGACACUUCGAAAAAUGAAAAUGUGUAUGUUUAGAUACCUAUCUAAUUACUGAAAUAUUUUUAAAAAUAUAUAUAAUUUUGUUUCUUACAAAGU
RNAcentral lists this long non-coding RNA (1409 nucleotides) under Cinara cedri. Lineage: Eukaryota; Metazoa; Arthropoda; Insecta; Hemiptera; Aphididae. The record is from RNAcentral.